UGCAAGUCGUACGAGGGUUUUUAACUCUAGUGGCGGACGGGUGAGUAACACGUGAGAAUUUGCCUUUAGGAGGGGGAUAACAAUCGGAAACGAAUGCUAAUACCCCAUAUGCUUUUGAGUGAAAUGGAUUUAUCUGCCUAAAGAGAAGCUCGCGGCUGAUUAGCUUGUUGGUAAGGUAAGAGCUUACCAAGGCGACGAUCAGUAUCUGGUUUGAGAGGACGAUCAGACACACUGGAACUGAGACACGGUCCAGACUCCUACGGGAGGCAGCAGUGGGGAAUUUUCCGCAAUGGGCGAAAGCCUGACGGAGCAAUACCGCGUGAGGGAAGAAUGCCUAUGGGUUGUAAACCUCUUUUUUCAGGGAGGAAUAAAAUGACGUGUACCUGAAGAAUAAGCAUCGGCUAACUCCGUGCCGGGAGCCGCGGUAAGACGGAGGAUGCAAGUGUUAUCCGGAAUCACUGGGCGUAAAGCGUCUGUAGGUGGUUUAAUAAGUCAACUGUUAAAUCUUGAGGCUCAACUUCAAAAUCGCAGUCGAAACUAUUAGACUAGAGUAUAGUAGGGGUAAAGGGAAUUUCCAGUGGAGCGGUGAAAUGCGUAGAUAUUGGAAAGAACACCAAUGGCGAAAGCACUUUACUGGGCUAUUACUAACACUCAGAGACGAAAGCUAGGGUAGCAAAUGGGAUUAGAUACCCCAGUAGUC
RNAcentral lists this ribosomal RNA (700 nucleotides) under uncultured bacterium. Its description in RNAcentral is "bacterial SSU rRNA". It matches the Rfam family "Bacterial small subunit ribosomal RNA", at positions 56 to 795 of the family's 1533-position model. The record is from RNAcentral.